CAAAAGAACACAAAGCAGAUCCCGGUUUUACACACUAAUCAAUCUUGACAGAUGAGUAGAUAAGUCUUGUGAACCAAAAGCACGCAUAAAAUCCGAUGGUGCCCGUUAGCACAAAAAAUGCAUACGAAGCGAUUAGCAUGUACCCAAAGUAUAGGAGCCCCGAAACCAGCUUAGUGAUCUCAAGCUUUGUGAAGAAAUAGAAUGUAGCGUAGAGGAAGAGGUACAAAGCCGAGGAGCCGGAUGUGAGAUAUGAUCUCCACCACCACAGAUAAUCUUCACUGCAUAAUUGGAAGUAGCAAAGCACAAUGGUUAUUUCAGCACAAGUGAUUAGGAGGAUAAUGAAUACCAAGAACAGGAAACCAAAGAUGUAGUAGAACUGGUUCAGCCAGAUUGAGGUGAGAAUGAAGAACAGCUCGAUGAAAACAGCUCCGAAUGGAAGUAUUCCUCCGAUCAGAAUAGAAAAAGUCGGGUUCAUAUACCAAGCUUGCUCUGGAAUUUGCCUUGGGAUUUUGUUCGUCUUCACAGGAUCCUCAAUUGCUGGCUUCUUGAACCCAACAUAACCACCCACAAAAACAAGUGGAACUGAAAUUCCAAACCACAUGAGGACCAGAGCAAACAUUGUUCCAAAUGGCACGGCCCCAGAAGACUUCUGGCCCCAUAUAAUUGCAUUUAAGAUAAAGAAGAUGGCAAAGACAAUGCCUGGGAACAUGCACGCAGUCCUAAAAGCUAAUUUCUUCCAUUCUGCUCCUUUAAACAUUUUGUACAGACGGGCAGAAGCAUAGCCAGCAAAAAUGCCCAUGAAGACCCAAAGUAAAAGCAUAGCUGUCAUCAGACCACCUCGGUUUGAAGGGGAAAGAAAUCCAAAAACAGCAAAGAUCAUGGUAACAAGUACCAUGCCCAAAAAUUGAACACCGGUGCCAACAUAGACACAGAGUAGAUCAGAAUUAGAUGGAGGCCUGAAAACAUCCCCAUGGACAAGCUUCCAUCCUGUCUCUUCUUGGGCUUCUUCCUGAGUCUCAAGUUCGUUAUACCUAGAAAUGUCACGGUAUAGUGUCCUUAGCAUGAUCAUUGCUACCAUUCCCGAAAGGAAGAGAACAAUCAUCAAAGAAUUGACAAUUGAGAACCAGUGUAUUUGGUCAUCAUUCAUUAAAAGAUAUGCAUCCCACCUAGAUGCCCACUUCACAUCACUCUCCUGAAAGUCGCACAGGAAAAUUUAAGAAUACUAGCACCUCAUAGAUUUAUAUGUCAGAAACUUAAUUCAAGAAAAUGUGAUACAAUGGAGAAUUUUUUCCAAGUAAUAAUAUCAACAGAAUCUACUUCAACACAAAGGAAUACAACCUUUAAGGGUUCAGCUCAAGGUUGCCAUUGGAAAAAUUUAACAUUGCAAUUGUCAACCCUAGAAAAUUAUUUGAAGUUGAAGAACUCACCUGGUAUUCAACAUCAUAGGUGAAUAUUAUCUCCUUUUUUGCUUCAACUUCUUGAGGAGUGUUAGAAUUAACAACUGUGCGUUUAUUAUGGGGGUCGCAUGUUGUUAAACGACUUUUUUCAUUCCAUUUCCCCUCAUAUUCAUGUUUAAUACUGCAUUGUUUUAGUAUAUAAAGAAAAUGUAUCAAAACACAAUACAACAAUCUCAGUCACAGAAACCUAGAAUUAAAAUUAUUAGAAUAUGCUAGACUCAAAGGAGCUAACCUGUAUGGUUUAACCUCAAAACCCACAAUUCUAGCAGAGUCAGUUUGCGGAUCCCUAUGAUAUUUGACAGUAAAUGCUAAAUGGUUGUGAAUGAAAUAUUUCUCUUCCUUGCUCUGCAUAUAACCAGAAAACAUAAGCAAACACAGAUAUAGUAGCUAAUUACAUCCACAAACAAAGGAAAUUUUAAUACUUGUAAUAGAUAUUAUGUUUACCCCACUAUAUUGGCCUUUGAGCCCAACAUGGUAGCCAAGCUGAUAAACAGUAGAAGAAUCCUGAUCUAAUCUUCUAACGGGGACAACAAGGGGAAGGUUAUCCAGUAUCCUGUCAAUUGAACCACAAAUUAAUUAGACAGAGAUCCUAGGCAACAGCUAUAAAAAGACUGAAAGAUGAAUUCCAUGUCCGAAUAAACAAAUGGCAUACAUAUUGACUCGAUAUUCAUCAUCAAUCUUCUCCUUAAAUUGCUUUGCAGUUUUGGCAUCAAGUGUAAUGCGGCAAAGAAUAGUACACAUAUGUGGCUCUCGCAUUUUAAACUACAUUAAUUGGAGUCAAUAAGAACAAGUUAAUGGCCAUAGAAUAAACAAUCAACACUAAAUCAUCAGAAAUACUGAUAACUGACCACAUAAGGAGAGUUUUCAAUUCGGUCACCACGAAGCACUUCCCCAAGAUUCUCCGCACUGUCAACAAUCUUUUUAGGUGGACAAAAAGGAAGCGAAUAGUACGAGUAAGGAAGUUGAGUCUUUAUAGAUGUCAAUUUGUUCACUUUCACCUUCAAAGGAUCUCCCUGCAAACCCCUAACAAAAGAAUCAAAACUAAAGAGGACCAAAAUGAUUCUUUAAUGAACACUCCCAACUAUCACAGCAUGUAGUGAGAACUUAAAGUGUUUUAAUCAAAGUCUUUAUCGAUCAGGUACGCAAUGUAACUAAUCACCAUAAAGAUCAAGCACGCUUUGGGGCUUCCAUUAAUACAUUAUGUAAAUUGAAUCUCUUUCCUUAAGCAAUAAUUACAGAACAUGAUUAACAUAAAAUAAAAUCGCAAAUGCCAUGGAUAAAUGCAAGACCGCAAGAAAAUUUUACAAACUAGCUAAAAGUAUGGACACUCAACGUUUUGAAAUAAAAGAAUCAAAACGGAAAACGAAAAUCAUAAAGUGAAAUGAAGUUAAAUUGUUCUAAUUUCUUGUUUAAAAGAAAACCUAGCUGAAUCUGAGACGGAUUUUCCACUUCCAACACGAAUACAAAGAAAUUCAUUAAUUUUCCUUCUCGUAGAGAUCAUAUACGUAUCUUAUUAUUCUAUCAAAAACAAACAGAGUUCAAAGUGAAGAUACAAAAUAAAAACCAGAUCAAUAAAUAAAGAAUAGAAGAGAAAGGGAAAGGCGACCUUCUGGAAGUCCUCGGGGGAAACACCGGGGAGGUAGAAGCAGUGAGCGGCAUGGAUCAGGAAGAGGAAGAGAAUCGGCCAUAUGAUGGUGGCAGUUAAUCGGUUCAUAGAUCUGGAUCCAGAUUCCAUUUUGACGGGGUUGGAGAAGGAAACUCUCUCUUUGAGAAGGGAGAGGAGGGGGAAAUGAGAUCUGAUAAAAGAAAAGAGCUUAUAUAUUGUUUUUUAAUCCUUUUUAAAAUCUGCCGUGGAAUUUGAUUUUUCUUAUCUACCGUGUGGUGGCUGGCGGUGGCCAGUCAAUUCGUAUUCGAGUGUCGGUCACGGUCAUGGUCAUGGUCAUGGUCUUGUGGAUUAUUAUUGAUGUCUUUUUGGAUUGGACUGAUCUAUUUAGGCCCAUUCUUUUUUUGUUUUUUCUCUGAGAUUUCAUUUCCGGGUUUGUAAGCGGGUUCGGAUUUUUUCUCAGAAAACUACUCCCUCUAACAUCUCAUCAUGGCCGAGUUGGAUCGGAUUCGAGUCGGGUUUAAGUAUGAUAUUAAUAUAUUUUAUAUUUGUUCAAAUCUAGCCCAACCUGAAAUAUGGGUCCAAAAUUUUACCCAAACCCAAACUCAUUUUAAACCUACCCAUAUUAUUUAUAAAAAAUUUUAAACAAAUAUUUUUACUAUAUUAUUUUAAUAUUUACAUUAGAGUAGUAUUAUAUAUUUAGUAUGGGUUUAUUUUUUUAAUGUGUUAUAAAAUACAUAAUAUAUAAGAACAACAUAAUAUAAAGUAUUAUAAACUUAAAAAUGGGUUGAGUCAGGGUCGGGCCAAGCUCGGGCCUUAAAUGUUCAAGUUCAAGCUCUAACUUUUUUUUAAACGAGCCUAAUUUUUUACCUAAACCCAUUUACUGGGUCUAAUAUUUUUACAUAAACCCUCCCAAAUUUCAGGCGGACCUUCGAGUCUAGAUGACUAACUCAACCCAUGAAUAGGUCUACUCUCAUUCUACUGAUUUUAUAAAGGUAAAAGUACCUAACAGAUCCCUCUAAGAAAUUAAUUAAAUACUAUGAUUGUUCUAAGAAUUUUUGUAACUCGGUAAUAUAUUAUGUAAUGGGUAAAUGACACCCGAGGUCACUCUAAAAUAGGGCCUGUCUUAUUUUGAUCACUCUAAUUUUUUUUUUCUCAAUUUAAUCACUAUAAAUAAGAUAAUUGUGCGAAUUAGUCACUGCCGUCAAAAUUUUUGUUUUUCUUUUUCUUUUGAUGGAUUGCCAAUGUGGCACAUUAGCCCACUGAGUGACUGACAUGUGGCAUUUUUUAUUGACUUUUGACUAAUUAUAGGGAGGUUGCUAAACUUUAAUCAAAAGUCAACAAAAAAAUACGUGCCAGUCACUAAAGGUGCUAAUGUAUCAUAUCAAUAAUCCGUUAAAAGAAAAUGAAAAUUUUAAUAGAAUGACUAAUUCACACAAUUAUCUUAUUUAGAGUGACUAAAUUGACAAAAAAAAUUGAAAUGAUCAAAACAGAACAAAUCUUAUUUUAGAGUGACUAUGAGGAAUAUCUAACUCAUGUGUUACAUAAGACACUAUAAUAUCUAUAAUAAUUAAUGUAAUAGGAUAAUAUUUUGAAUAAUCACACAAAAACCUUAUGAAGUUUUUGUUAUUACUCCAAAUUUUUAGUAAGUACUAAUAAAUUUUGUAAUUUGAUAAUAUAUAUUCUAUAAUUCAUAUUAUACUAAACAUUAUAAAAUCUGUAAUAAUUAUUAUAGUAAGGUAAUAUGUGGCGUAAGAGUUGUGUUAUUACUCAAAAAUAUUAUGCAAAUUCUAAAAAAAUUUUGUAAAUUGGUAAUUUAUUCUAUAAUCUGUGAUAGACUAACAUUACAAAAUCAAUAAUAAUUAGUGUAACAAAAUAAUAUACUAAUGUUAUACAAUGUUCUUUGUUAAACAAAUAUAUCAUCUAAGUCGUAAAAAAUUAUGUAACCAAAUAAUAAUUAGCGCAAAUAUUUACACAAAACAAUGCAGAUAUAGUUAUAGCUUACAGCUAUUAAACUUAAAAUAAGCUUCAUAAUUGUCAAAAUCAGAUAUAUCGGUUUGUACGUCAGAAAUAUAAAAAAUAUAUAUUUGAUUAAUUUGUUAACCAGCAUAAAUUGAUUAAAUCAAGUUAAAAAAAAAGAUUAAACAAACGAUGAAGCUGACUAUAAAUCUUCAAUAUUUUUUUGGAGUUCUUAAUAACUUACCUAGUAAAAAAAACAUAAAUCGGAUCGGAAAAAAAUUCUUGACCGAUUCAACCACAGUUCGGACAUGAUCCAUCCCUUUCGUUAUAAAAGAAUUUCAGCAUUCGGCAGGUCAAGUUGUGUUCCAGCAAGUAAUAAAAACCAUCAGCAUGAGUAUUUUGCGUCUUCUAUAAAUAAAGGAAUAAAAAGGCUACGAUAUUAUUACAAAAUCAUCAAAUUCACCCAGUGUAUUUCAGGCUUCUCUUAACAAGUAUUUUCUCAAUCAACUACAACAAUGACAACUCAGUUCAAAAAUGAGAAUUAACGUAUACAUCUUAAAGCAUGACUAUAUCUUAACCUAAAAAGCAUAUCCCCUUUUACACACUAAUCGAUCUUGACAGAUGAGUAGAUAAGUCUCGUGAACCAAAAGCACGCAUAAAAUCCGAUGGUGCCCGUUAGCACAAAAAAUGCAUACGAAGCAAUUAGCAUGUACCCAAAGUAUAGGAGCCCCGAAACCAGCUUAGUGAUCUCAAGCUUUGUGAAGAAAUAGAAUGUAGCGUAGAGGAAGAGGUACAAAGCCGAGGAGCCGGAUGUGAGAUAUGAUCUCCACCACCACAGAUAAUCUUCACUGCAUAAUUGGAAGUAGCAAAGCACAAUGGUUAUUUCAGCACAAGUGAUUAGGAGGAUAAUGAAUACCAAGAACAGGAAACCAAAGAUGUAGUAGAACUGGUUCAGCCAGAUUGAGGUGAGAAUGAAGAACAGCUCGAUGAAAACAGCUCCGAAAGGAAGUAUUCCUCCGAUCAGAAUAGAGAAAGUUGGGUUCAUAUACCAAGCUUGCUCUGGGAUUUGCCUUGGGAUUUUGUUUGUCCUCACAGGAUCCUCAAUUGCUGGCUUCUUGAACCCAACAUAACCACCCACAAAAACAAGUGGAACUGAAAUUCCAAACCACAUGAGGACCAGAGCAAACAUUGUCCCAAAUGGCACGGCCCCAGAAGACUUCUGGCCCCAUAUAAUUGCAUUUAAGACAAAGAAGAUGGCAAAGACAAUGCCUGGGAACAUGCACGCAGUCCUAAAAGCUAAUUUCUUCCAUUCUGCUCCUUUAAACAUUUUGUACAGACGGGCAGAAGCAUAGCCAGCAAAAAUGCCCAUGAAGACCCAAAGUAAAAGCAUAGCUGUCAUCAGACCACCUCGGUUUGAAGGGGAAAGAAAUCCAAAAACAGCAAAGAUCAUGGUAACAAGUACCAUGCCCAAAAAUUGAACACCGGUGCCAACAUAGACACAGAGUAGAUCAGAAUUAGAUGGAGGCCUGAAAACAUCCCCGUGGACAAGCUUCCAUCCGGUCUCUUCUUGGGCUUCUUCCUGAGUCUCAAGUUCGUUAUACCUAGAAAUGUCACGGUAUAGUGUCCUUAGCAUGAUCAUUGCUACCAUUCCCGAAAGGAAGAGAACAAUCAUCAAAGAAUUGACAAUUGAGAACCAGUGUAUUUGGUCAUCAUUCAUUAAAAGAUAUGCAUCCCACCUAGAUGCCCACUUCACAUCACUCUCCUGAAAGUCGCACAGGAAAAUUUAAGAAUACUAGCACCUCAUAGAUUUAUAUGUCAGAAACUUAAUUCAAGAAAAUGUGAUACAAUAGAGAAUUUUUUCCAAGUAAUAAUAUCAACAGAAUCUACUUCAACACAAAGGAAUACAAUCUUUAAGGGUUCAGCUCAAGGUUGCCAUUGGAAAAAUUUAACAUUGCAAUUGUCAACCCUAGAAAAUUAUUUGAAGUUGAAGAACUCACCUGGUAUUCCACAUCAUAGGUGAAUAUUAUCUCCUUUUUUGCUUCAACUUCUUGAGGAGUGUUAGAACUAACAACUGUGCGUUUAUUAUGGGGAUCGCAUGUUGUUAAACGACUUUUUUCAUUCCAUUUCCCCUCAUAUUCAUGUUUAAUACUGCAUUGUUUUAGUAUAUGAAGAAUAUGUAUUAAAACACAAUACUUGAAUCUCAGUCGCAGAAACCUAGAAUCAAAAACAUUAGAAUAUGAUAGAACUCAAAGGAACCAACUAACCUGUAUGGUUUAACCUGAAAACCCACAAUUCUAGCAGAGUCAGUUUGUGGAUCCCUAUGAUACUUGACAGUAAAUGCUAAAUGGUUGUGAAUGAAAUAUCUGUCUUCCUUGCUCUGUAAAUAACCAGAAAACAUAAGCAUACACAGAUAUAGUAGCUAAUUACAUCCACAACCAAAGGAACUUUUAAUGCUUGUAAUAGAUAUUAUGUUUACCCCACUGUAUUGGCCUUUGAGCCCAACAUGGUAGCCAAGCUGAUAAACAGUAGAAGAGUCCUGAUCUGAUCUUCUAAUGGGAACAACAAGGGGGAGGUUAUCCAGUAUCCUGUCAAGCAAAUCAAAAAUUAAUUAGAAAGAGAUCCUAGGCAACAGAGCAAUUAAAAGAUUGAAAGAUGACUUCCAUGUCCGAAUAAACAAAUAGCAUACAUAUUGACUCGAUAUUCAUCAUCAAUCUUCUCCUUAAACUGCUUUGCAGUUUUGGCAUCAAGUGUAAUGCGGCAAAGAACAGUACACAUUUGUGGAUCUCGCAUUUUAAACUACAAUAAUUAAAGUCAACAAAAACAAGUUAGGCCAUAAAAUAAACAGUCAGAACUAAAUCAUCAGAAAUACUAAUAACUGACCACAUAAGGAGAGUUUUCAAUUCGAUCACCGCGAAGCACUUCUCCAAGAUUCUCAGUGCUGUCAACUAUCUUUUUAGGUGGGCAAAAAGGAAGCGAAUAGUAUGAAUAAGGAAGCUGAGUCUUUAUAGACGUCAAUUUGUUCACUUUCACCUUCAAAAGAUCUCCCUGCAAACCCCAACAAAAGAAUAAAAACUAAAGAAGACCAGUAUGAUUCCUCAGUGAACACCCCCCAACUAUCAUGGCAUGUAGUGAGAACAUAAAGUGGUUUAAUCAAAGCCAUUAUUGAUCAGGUGCGCAUGAUGAGCACGGUGUAACUAAUCACCAUAAAGAUCACGUACGUUUUGGUGCUUCAAUUAAUACAUUAUGUAUAUUGAAUCUCUUUCGAGGAUAACUUCACAAAUCUUAUGCAAUAAUUAUUCUAGGUAGCAUUACAGAACAUGAUCAGCAUGAAACAAUCGCAGAUACCUUGGAUAAAUGCAAGAACGGAACAAAACUUAAAAACUAACUAAAAGUGUGCACUCUCAACGUUUUCAAAUAAAAGAAUAAAACGGAAAAGGAAAUCAUCAUGUGAAAUGAAGUUAACUUGUUCUUAUUAUACAACCUAGCUGAAUCUGAGACGUUAUUUCCAUUUCCAACAUAUGAAAUUUUUAAUAAUAUUCCUUCUCGUAGUGAACCUAUAUGAAUCCUAUUAUUAUAUAAAAAAAAUAAACAGAGAUCAAAUCUAAGGCACGAAAUUAAAACCAGAUCAACCAAAAAAAGAAGAAGAAAGGAACAGAGGGAAAAACACAAAUAGAAAUCGAAAGGCAACCUUCUGGAAGUCUUCGGGGGCGACACCGGGAAGGUAGAAGCAGUGAGCAGCGUGGGCCAGAAAGAGGAAGAGAAACGAACAUAUCUUGGCGGUCAACUUGUGCAUAGAUCUGGAUCUAGACUCCAUUUUGACGAUGGGAGAAACUCUCUCUUUGACGAGGGAGAGAGGGAAAUUAGAUCUGGAAAAAGAAAAGAGCGUAUAUAUGUGUUUUUCAUUUUUUCUUUUAAUGUCUUUUUUAAAUUUCACUUGGAAUUAGGUUUUUCUUAUCCGCCGUCUUGUGUAAAACUACAACAAUAGUUCCUGUACUAUAACUCAUAUUACAUUUUGGUCUCUUUAUUAAAAAAUUAGGUAAAUUAUACAUUUAUUUAAUUUAGCCCCUAUUCUUUUUAUGCCUAACAAUUUAACCAUCAACCUUUUAUCACUAAUACGACACUAUCACCACAUUUAGGUCAUUGUAACGGAAUAGAGCUAUAAUGAAAUAUAGCUAUAAUCAGUAAUUCAAUUGUUUGGUUGAAUGAAAAGAAAUAGAACUGUAAUAGUAUUCUUGUAUCUUGUUAAAUGGAAUAAAGUUGUAAUAGCAUAAAAAAAUUAAAAUGACCAGAUUACCCCUAUCAUAAAAUUUUUUUAGAUUGAUAAUUAUUGUUAUUGUUAUUAAAUUUUAAUAAGAUUAUUAUUAAAUAUUUUAUAUUAGUUUAAUUUAACAUUUUAUAACAAAUUAUAUUAAAACAUUUUAUUUUAUAUUUUUUGAAAUUUGGAAAAAAAUAUAUUAUAUUGAAUUAUAUUAAAAUGUUUUUUUUUUAUUUUUUAUAUUAAAUUAUAUUAAAAUAUUUAACGUAUAGUUGAUAUUAAAGUGACUCCAUCCUAAUAUAGAAACCUUAAAUCCAAUUUCCUUCGUGGCUAGAAAAAGGAUUUUCCACUGAAAAUAAGCUUUCAUAAAAUAACUAGAUCAGCAUAAGUAAGAAAUAUGUGCUAUCGCGGCUUCAAUCUAGUCCGAAAAUAAAAAAAAAAUUUAUUUCCAAAUUGCCUUUCUUCUGUUAUAACAGAAAGCACAAGCAACCAGUAAAUUAUAAAUAGAAAGACAUAGUUACUUUUAUGAGCAGAAGUGGUAGGUUUUCUUGAUAGCCAUGUAGAUAUUCAAAAAGGUGAGUUGCAAAGUAACCUGUAUCUCAAAUUGUUUUUCAAAACCCCUUCAAAUUUAACAACAUAAAGUUUAAAAAAAUGACUGUCAAAACAUUUGAAGCUAAGAAUAAGACUUUUGGUGAUUGCUCCAACGUUUGUAGCUUUAUCGAUCCCUAUGUUAGCAGUUGAAUUUCCUUCCAAGCCGUUAAGAUCAACAUUUGUGGCAUCAUGAACAACUGACUGAGUAGGCACCUCUAGGAUGUACCAUAUAUUACUGCUACCUUGAGGAGGAGAUUUCUAGUGGGAUAAAUCUAGUCUUUAGCAAAUAAUUUUUUUUAAAUUAAAAAGUAUUAUAAAAAUUAUAAAAAAAACUCUUCAAAAAUAAAAUAAAAACUAAAAUUUCUAAAAUUAAAUCCCAAAUUAAUCAAUUGAUUUUUUUUAUUCAAGUAUAUUUUAGAUUUUAAGCAAGCAUAUAGAGAGAGACACUAAUAACAGGAGAAAAAUGAAAUGUUUUGAUAGAGAAGCAGGUGGACUAUUUUUUUCACUUUAAGAUCUUAAAACUAUUUAUAAUUAAAUAUUUGGUUGGGUAUAUAUAUUGGAUCUCGUGCAACUUUAUUGAUGGUCAAUCUGUUUGCUUUUGAGUAUCGAGAAUGGUCAUGAGGGCGAAGGGACCCCAGUCAUUAUCUUCUUGUAAAAGACAAACGGUGAAAAAAUGUCUACGGAGGUGAUGUGGUGGAUGGGUCAGGUUUGACGGCGAUGGUGGCAGGAGACGAAGGAUUGGAAUGGAUCUCAACGGUCAGAGUACUUACCAUUGACUUGUUUACUGCCGGAUGCUUUUGCCGCCAUCUACAACUAGCAAUGGAUGUGGACAAAAGUGAAAUUGGGAGCUUUUCAGUUUCUUGAUAUUCUGGUUUUUUGAUGAGGAAAGUUCAAGUGUGACUGGAAUUUUUAUUUUUCUUUUGAUGUUUUCUUUUUAAGUCAUAGGGUUUGUAUUUUAUUUGAUUUUUUUUUCAUUUAUAAAACAUUGUUGCAUUGCUUCAAUAAAAAUAUCUAGCCUUUAUUUUAAUAAAUAAAUAAAAUCUCGUACAACUUUAUUAAUGGUCAGUCUAUUUGUAUUCGGUUAUCGAGAAUGGUCAUGGAUUACCAUGUCUUUUUGGAUUGAAUAAAUUCAUUUAGGCCCAUCUUUCUUUCUUUAGUAUUUUUAUUCUUUUUUUAAUAUGUAGUUUGUUCUUUUAUCUUAUUUAAAAGUAAUUGGUUGGUAUUUGAAUUUUUUAUUGGACCUAAUUAGUAUUUAAACUUGUACUCCAUCACUUAAGUUGGUAUUUCUACACUAACACCGUUAGUUUAUGCUGACGUGAUACUGAUAGUCUAUCCAUCAGUAACAUGUGACAGUCUCUUAGUAUGUCACGUGGCAAAUAUAAAUUAAAAAUACUUUUAAAAUAUAUAAAUUAAUUAUAAAAAAUAUAAUUAUGUUCACAUCAAAAAUGAAUCUAGACAAAAAUUUAUACUUUUUUAUUAAUUUAUUUAUUUUUAAAGAUUUGUUUAAUUUAUACUCGUCACAUGACAUAUUGAGAAACUACCACAUGUCACCACUAGAUUGAUCAUCAGUGCCACAACAACACAAAUUCACGGUGUUAGUGAGAAGAUACUAACUUGAGUAACGGAAUAUAAGUUCAAAUACCACUCAAAGACAAACUAAGUGUAAUGGGUGGAUUUGAGUCUUUAUUGAACCUACAAUUAAUUGAAUACGUUUAAUUGAAAAAACUCAAAUUAAAAAAUGAUGCCCUCCCAUGUGAUUAGUUUCGUAUUAGUUCAGUCGAUCCACAUCGUUUUAGUACAAAACCGAAACUUUCAAAUAUUUUUUAUAUCGGAAAAAAUUUUGGUCUAUGUUAAUUGUAGCAUUUUGUUUUGUUCAUGUUUUGGUCACAACUACUAUAACAAAGUGCAUCGGUUGGAAGGGGAAGCAAAAUUCUUACAAAUUUCACGAAUACACCUCUAUAUGUCUAUUUUUAUAGAACUUCCAUCUUAUAUGUUUAGCAUGAGAUGCUUUUUUUUUUUUCGAUUUGUUGAAUGAUAAAUUUUAUUUAUUUAUUUGUGAUGUGUAUUAAAGAAUAUUAUAUAUAAUUGAUGAAUAUAAAAUAUUUUAAAUCUAUUUAAUUUUAUUCAUUUUAUAUUUUUAAAUCUUUUUAUUUACGUAUACUAAAUAUUUUUUAAAAAAGUUUUUUUUUAUCAAUUUAAUUUAAUUUGAAAUUUUUCGAAAAAAUAAGUUAAAUUGAAUAAAUUUAUUCAAGUUAAAAUAAAGAUUAAAUUAUAGGAAUAAAUUUCAAAAUUAUAUAUGAACUUUGAUUUAAUGUACAAUUAUAUAUAUAAACUUUAAUUUUGUGCAAUUAUACACUUAAAAUUCUAAUUGUAGUUCAAAUGUAUACUUGAAACUUUAAUUUUGAUUUAAUUAUACACAUUUAAAUAAAUGAAUAUAUCAAUUUAUUUUUAUAUUGAAUAAAUAUAUUUAUUUAUGUAUGAAAUAUAUAAACAUAAAAUGAUAUUAUAUCAACAAUGUGUUAAUAAUUUUUAAAAAUUAGAUCAAAUUAAAAUUUCAUAUAUAAAAUUGCAUAAAAUCAAAUUUCAUGUAUACAAUUGCACAUUAAACCAUAAUUUAUUUAUAAUUUUAAAAAUUUAUCCCUAAAUUAUAUUUAAUAAUGAUAAAGCAAGCUUUAUGAUUUUUUACAUGAUUUAAGAAAUGCACUUGAAAUUACAAAUAGUCAAGAACACAAGACACAUAAUUUUAAGUGAUUUCACCAAAAAUAUUUCUUUGUACAAACUCUAACUUUAGAGAUCAACAAGUGACAUAACAAAUAAUAAUAAUAAUAAUAAUAAAACAAUGAGAAAAUUCAAAAUUUUCAUAAAAAAACGGCUUUAUUUGGAUAAAAAAGUUACACUAAUUAGAUGAUUAAUUUUACCAUUAAAAACCAACAUUAAAUUCUAAUCAUAUGUACUCUUUUUAAGACAAUACUUAAAAUUACCUAUAGUUCCUUCUCAACUCAUAAAUAAAAGGACAAUACAUUUUAACGCACUUAAACCCUCUUACAUUGAGAACAAUAUUCAUUAUACCGAUCGAGUUAAAACUCGAUCAACAGCUUACCUAAUAUUUGUGUUGAACUUUAAAGUACAAAGUUCGAUAAAAAUUCAAUUUUUGUCGUAAAAAAUACCAGAAGAUCUUAAUGGUGGAAAUGAAAACCAGGAGGUGAGGAACAACAUGAUGAUUGCUUCCAAAUAUUAGCUAUAAUUAUGCUUACUUCAAUCAAAAGGAUGAAUGAGAUGGUUGAGAGAACUUUAACCAUUGGAUGUUUGGUAAUGCAAUCAUUUAUAGUUCAAUUCAUAAAGAGAGCACAACAGAAGGUAGACUACAUGGAUUCUAUAUACCCUGCAACAACUAGUUAGAAGAGGUGAAAGUCGACUACAUCCUAAUCGUUGAUGAGAAAGCUAUUCCUGAAUAGAAUCCCAAUUUGGAUAGGAUUAGUCUCAAACUAUAAAACAGAUGAAGAUACCUAUGAAUAUAUAAUAAUAAUAAAAAAACACAUCCUAAUAAAUUUCAAUCUUACUUAGAAUAUUUUCAUUAUAUAAAUAUUUGUUAUAUACUAUUUUUUAUUAAUAAUCUUAUUACAGACUCUAAUCAUAUCUAUUCUUUUUUGACACAAUUCUUAGAACUACCUAUAACCCUUUUUCCAUCCCAUAAGAGGAUAAUGAGUGCAUUACCAAUGCCCAUGCCAAUCGAGCUGAAUUUUAAUCAGCAUAUUUUCAUCCAUUCACUCAGUGCACAUUGCACAGUCACAAUAUACCUAUAAUACUUGUAGAGUGAUAUCCUCUUUUUGAAAUAGAAUGAAUAUAAUGAAACAUAAGCAACAAGGAGAGAUCCAAAUUGGCACAGCCACAACACACAAUCAAACAAAAAAAAAAAAAGGAAUCUUGUAAUUACUUCAUCUUUAGCAGAAAAUUUUGAUAUUCAGAAAUGAACAUACAAAGCAUGCAAUCAUUCAAAAUAAUAAUUAACGCAGCACAGAUUCAAAAAAAAAAAAAAGUGCAAACAUCCAUGAAAAUGGUUUCAUUUCCUAAAAGAAAACAUUAUCCUAUUAUAGUUUGAAAUUUGUUGAUUGCAUGGAAGUCGUUGCCUUACUACAGUCAAUUAUAGAGCUGAAAAUGCUUUUGGAGAUACAAGAAAUAAUAAAGACUACAACAAAGUACAGUGUUGUAACUUGUAAGCAUAUUAAGUUAAGUUGUGUUGAUACACAACAAGAACUAAGUACCAGAAAGAACAAACCUUGAUCCAGUGUUGCAAAAACUGAAAAUCAGUGUCUUCCUGCAAAAGGAAACAACAAGUCAAGAAAGAAGCUCAUUGUGAAAUUUACAAACAGGCGUAAUUAUUUUCUUUAAAAUAAUUACACCUGCUUCUCUAUGAAAACACUAAUAAUAUAUGUUGCUGUUACCAAGAUAGGGUUAUAAAUUGAACUAAUGAAUAGAAAACUCCAUUUUUGCAACUAAGCGUACAAGAAACUUGAGCCUGCUAGAUUCAGGUGAAAACAAACUCCAAUAAAGCAGUAAAAGAUGAAGGUAUGGUACCAACAAGAAGAAAAUUGCAGAAAGAGAAAGAGGGUUUUGUUGAGGGAGGACCAUACUAGCUAUUAGUAGGCAAGGGAUAACGUGAAUGGUCCCAUAUUCAUCGUUUUGCCACUAAACCUGCACAAUAAUCAAUCAAGCUUAUACCUCAACAGUGAAUAACAUCAAAAGCCACGCUUGUUAAUUACAUAAAUCAUAAACAAAAGAUACAGUCAGGCCGUCAGUAGGGCAUACCACCUUCAUUGGUUCCAUAUACUCUCUCUCUCCCUCCAUUCUCAGAAUAGUUCAAUUUGACUGGCACCAAUGAAGGUGGUAUGCCCUACUGACGGCCUAGGUAAGGUGGUCUUUAAUUAGGGUUUGACUGUAUAAAAUGUAAAACUCCCAUUGAUAAAGAGAAAAAAGACUUGAGAUACAAGUAGUUUAGUCACUCCCCACUGCAUAUAUAUUAACAGAAAUUUCAAAAGGGUUAUUCCUCGCAUUUUUACUUUUUUUUCCUAAUUAAUAAAAAAUAUACUAGAUUAAUUGUGUGUUGGGAAUUUAUUGGCUGGUUGACUAUCUGAUACGUUUGUUUGAGUUGAUGAACC
Molecule: long non-coding RNA, 15021 nt
Filed under: Gossypium barbadense (sea-island cotton)
Lineage: Eukaryota; Viridiplantae; Streptophyta; Magnoliopsida; Malvales; Malvaceae
Description: long non-coding RNA (GBAR_LNC022711)
Source: RNAcentral